Molecule: ribosomal RNA, 567 nt
Filed under: uncultured archaeon
Lineage: Archaea
Description: partial 16S ribosomal RNA
Source: RNAcentral
CCCUACCCCUGAAGUACCUCUCACCUCUCCCGGCCUCGAGCCGAACAGUAUCUCCUGAAAGCCCAACAUUGAGCUGCUGGAUUUCUCAAGAGACUUAUCCGGCCGGCUACAGACCCUUUAGACCCAAUAAUAACGGUUACCACUCGAGCCGCCGGUGUUACCGCGGCGGCUGGCACCGGUCUUGCCCGGCCCUUGCUAUGCAAUGCUUUUUAGGCAUCACGACAGCCAGAUUUGUAACCUGGCACUCGAGGUCCCCUUAUCGCCGUUGCCGGCAUUGUAAAGUUUUCGCGCCUGCUGCACCCCGUAGGGCCUGGAUUCGUGUCUCAGAAUCCAUCUCCGGGCUCUUGCUCUCACAACCCGUACCCGUCGUAGGCUAGUAGGUACGCUACACCCACUACUACCUGAUAGGCCGCAGACCCAUCCUCUGGCGCCGGAGCUUUCGAUCUCGGGGCAUUCCAGCGACCGAGAUCUAUCGGGGAUUAUACCCAGUUUCCCGGGUUUAUACCCGUCCGGAGGGUAGGUUGUCCACGUGUUACUGAGCAGUACGCCAUGUAUUGCUACAUUCGA